GAUUCUGUAGAGCAAAUUUGAAUCCGUAAUUAGUAUUAAGUACAAAUGCACCUCCUUACUAUUUUUUGGUGCAAUAUAGAUUUCUUGAGUUAAUUGCACAUUCAAAAGUGAUAUUGACCUGUAAAUAUCUUUAAAACACCUUCUGGUUGUGGACUUUUAAUGCAAAUAUCUUUUACUUAUAAAAAACUAUGCCUAAAUUAUGAUUUCACCCUAGCUUUUGUGUUUUGAUUUCAGAAAUUUUUGUAUCUGUCUCGAAUUUUUCAAUUGAUUUUGGUCAAAGUACUCGAAAUCGACUGACAAUAUUUGGUAUAGAUCCCACACCCACACCCAUGUUGUGUCGAUACGAGUGCGGCACCGAAAGUGAAGAGUUCGUGCAACUUAGGUUGGUUGAUAUGUUGAAGGGCACAGGUAUUAAAGUGAGAGUUCAAGUUUUCGUAAUGUUUAAAUAGGAGUGAGUCAUAAGGUGAGAGAAGCUUACCUUCAGAAUAGUUUACACCACCUUUAAUACAGAAGUGGAUGCAAUGGUCCCUUUUUGAGGAACUUUUCUUCUCUUUAAGGAAAGUGAAUGCUAUUAUAAGACAACCAAAAGUGGAUUGUGAGAUCUGAGAAUUAAACUGGGAAAAGG
This 625-nucleotide long non-coding RNA is filed under the name Solanum tuberosum (potato). RNAcentral's name for it is "long non-coding RNA (STUB_LNC007033)". The record is from RNAcentral. Lineage: Eukaryota; Viridiplantae; Streptophyta; Magnoliopsida; Solanales; Solanaceae.